Molecule: ribosomal RNA, 263 nt
Filed under: uncultured bacterium
Lineage: Bacteria
Description: partial 16S ribosomal RNA
Rfam family: Bacterial small subunit ribosomal RNA
Source: RNAcentral
UACGUAGGGGGCGAGCGUUAUCCGGAAUUAUUGGGCGUAAAGAGUGCGUAGGUGGUUUUUUAAGCGUGGGGUGAAAGGCAUGGGCUUAACUCGUGUUAGCCUCGCGAACUAGGAGACUUGAGUGCAGGAGAGGAAAGCGGAAUUCCUAGUGUAGCGGUGAAAUGCGUAGAUAUUAGGAGGAACACCAGUGGCGAAGGCGGCUUUCUGGACUGUAACUGACACUGAGGCACGAAAGCGUGGGGAGCGAACAGGAUUAGAUACCC